RNAcentral lists this ribosomal RNA (459 nucleotides) under uncultured bacterium. RNAcentral describes it as "partial 16S ribosomal RNA". It matches the Rfam family "Bacterial small subunit ribosomal RNA", at positions 338 to 795 of the family's 1533-position model. The record is from RNAcentral.
CCUACGGGAGGCAGCAGUGAGGAAUAUUGGUCAAUGGCCGGAAGGCUGAACCAGCCAUGCCGCGUGAAGGUCAGUGCCCUAUGGGCGUUAAACUUCUUUUGUGCGGGAGCAAUAAUGGUCCCGUGUGGCCAGACGAGAGUCCCGUCCGAAUAAGCCUCGGCUAACUCCGUGCCCGCAGCCGCGGUAAUACGGGGGUGCAAGCGUUAUCCGGAUUUAUUGGGUUUAAAGGGUGCGUAGGCUGGGAGGAAAGUCAGCGGUGAAAGGCCCCCGCUCAACGGGGUGAAGUGCCAUUGAUACUGCCUGGCGUGAAUGCGGAUGCCGUGAGAGGAAGGGGUGGUGUAGCGGUGAAAUGCAUAGAUAUCACACAGAACACCGAUUGCGAAGGCAGCUCACGAAUCCGCGAUUGACGCUGAGGCACGAAAGCGUGGGUAUCAAACAGGAUUAGAUACCCUGGUAGUC